RNAcentral lists this ribosomal RNA (248 nucleotides) under uncultured Actinomycetales bacterium. RNAcentral's name for it is "partial 16S ribosomal RNA". It matches the Rfam family "Bacterial small subunit ribosomal RNA", at positions 81 to 334 of the family's 1533-position model. The record is from RNAcentral. Lineage: Bacteria; Bacillati; Actinomycetota; Actinomycetes; Actinomycetales.
CACUGGUACUCGAGUGGCGAACGGGUGAGUAACACGUGGGUGAUCUGCCCUGCACUUCGGGAUAAGCCUGGGAAACUGGGUCUAAUACCGGAUAGGACCACAUUUUGGAUGGUGUGGUGGAAAGUUUUUCGGUGUGGGGUGAGCUCGCGGCCUAUCAGCUUGUUGGUGGGGUAAUGGCCUACCAAGGCGUCGACGGGUAGCCGGCCUGAGAGGGUGUACGGCCACAUUGGGACUGAGAUACGGCCCAG